GGAAAGCCCUGCCACGACUACCGGGACCCCACCGCCCCAGUAAUGGGAGCGGGUGCCCGCGGCUAAGAGCUGCGGGUACGGUAAAGCACCGAAGUCUAGGGGCGAUCCGCCGCCAAACCCUCCCCGCACCGGGAGGGCCCAGCUCACAGGCCAGACGGCGAUGGGCGCAGUCGCGCUUAAGAUAUGGUCGAGUGACCCGUCGAGAGGCGGGUGCAACUCAGGAACGUCCGUAGGUGAACCUGCGGAAGGAUCAUU
This 255-nucleotide ribosomal RNA is filed under the name Thyrinula dunnii. RNAcentral describes it as "partial 18S ribosomal RNA". Lineage: Eukaryota; Fungi; Ascomycota; Dothideomycetes; Asterinales; Asterinaceae. The record is from RNAcentral.